RNAcentral lists this ribosomal RNA (439 nucleotides) under uncultured bacterium. Its description in RNAcentral is "bacterial SSU rRNA". It matches the Rfam family "Bacterial small subunit ribosomal RNA", at positions 352 to 782 of the family's 1533-position model. The record is from RNAcentral.
CAGUAGGGAAUCUUCCGCAAUGGACGAAAGUCUGACGGAGCAACGCCGCGUGAGUGAUGAAGGCUUUCGGGUCGUAAAACUCUGUUGUUAGGGAAGAACAAGUGCUAGUUGAAUAAGCUGGCACCUUGACGGUACCUAACCAGAAAGCCACGGCUAACUACGUGCCAGCAGCCGCGGUAAUACGUAGGUGGCAAGCGUUAUCCGGAAUUAUUGGGCGUAAAGCGCGCGCAGGUGGUUUCUUAAGUCUGAUGUGAAAGCCCACGGCUCAACCGUGGAGGGUCAUUGGAAACUGGGAGACUUGAGUGCAGAAGAGGAAAGUGGAAUUCCAUGUGUAGCGGUGAAAUGCGUAGAGAUAUGGAGGAACACCAGUGGCGAAGGCGACUUUCUGGUCUGUAACUGACACUGAGGCGCGAAAGCGUGGGGAGCAAACAGGAUUAGA